This is an RNA transcript of Panicum virgatum (switchgrass), 1261 nucleotides long. It is a transcript of the gene named probable cytokinin riboside 5'-monophosphate phosphoribohydrolase LOGL7, with no coding region annotated. NCBI's taxonomy places the organism in Eukaryota, Viridiplantae, Streptophyta, Magnoliopsida, Poales, Poaceae. The transcript is spliced from 7 exons. The record is from RefSeq and is a predicted model, not a curated record.
ACCGCGCGCCACCACUUGGGAGCUCUGCCGGAAAGGGAGGGGCGCUGGAGAUAACGCACGCGCAGCCAAACACGGCACCACCGAGCGACCACCUGCGGGCUAGCUCCUACGAGCUGAGCGAGCGAGCUCCUCCCAGGCACAGCACGGCUAGCUAGCUAGCUAGCUGCGUGGUCGGUCGACAUGGGCGACGGAGCGGCCGCCGUGCCGAGCAGGUUCCGCACGAUCUGCGUCUUCUGCGGCAGCAGCACCGGGCACCGGAAGGUGUUCGCGGACGCCGCGCUCGAGCUCGGCCACGAGCUGGUGCGGAGGGGCAUCGGCCUGGUCUACGGCGGCGGCAGCAUCGGGCUGAUGGGCGUGAUUGCGCGGACGGUUCGCGACGGCGGCUGCCAUGUCCUUGGGGUGAUUCCUAAAGCGCUCAUGCCUAUUGAGAUUUCAGGCGAAAGUGUAGGAGAAGUGAAGGUUGUAGCCGACAUGCAUCAGAGGAAAGCUGAGAUGGCUCGCCAAUCUGAAGCGUUCGUCGCUCUCCCAGGUGGGUAUGGAACAAUGGAGGAGUUGUUGGAGAUGAUAACCUGGUGCCAACUUGGAAUUCAUGACAAGCCAGCGUCCUACAGGUCGGCUUGCUGAAUGUCGAUGGUUACUACGACCCGCUGAUUGCCCUGUUUGAAAAGGGGGCAACCGAGGGCUUCAUCAACCCUGACUGCAGGCAAAUAUUUGUUUCUGCACCAACCGCAAGCGAGCUGCUGACAAAGAUGGAGGAGGUAGCCCCCGCGACGAGCUGGGAGAUCUCGGAGCUCGGCUACGGGAACGCCGGCGCACCGGCAGAAGACUCCUAGCUAGAACUCCAUCACCUGAAGCUGAAGCGAAGCUCUCUCCACUGAUGUUGCAUUUGUUUUCCCCGCUGUUUCCUCAAAGUCUCCAAACCACUCAACUAGGUAUCGGCGCGAGCUCGGGGCAGUUUCUUGUCUGAAUCCAUCAGGAAAUCGACCCCAUCCUCGUGUUCUCGCGGCUCGCAGUUUGAAGUUUGAUUGCUCGGUUGUGUAAGCUGCCGCUCCUCUUCCGGUGUGCGUGUGUGUGGUCAUUGUGGAAACAGAAUCUGCCCGGGCCGGGGCAGCAGCGCGAAAGCGGCAGCUCUGCCCCGGCGACGUCACAGGUGAGCGGCCGACUGAUUGGGCCUGUGUGUACUCAUUGCCGGAGCCUUCUUUUGGUUAAAAAAACGGUGGUGAUGUGAGAUGGAUAGAUGGAUGGGGUCAUGAUUCGUGCU